RNAcentral lists this ribosomal RNA (459 nucleotides) under uncultured bacterium Riz1053. Its description in RNAcentral is "bacterial SSU rRNA". It matches the Rfam family "Bacterial small subunit ribosomal RNA", at positions 9 to 452 of the family's 1533-position model. The record is from RNAcentral.
GAGUUUGAUCAUGGCUCAGGACGAACGCUGGCGGCGUGCCUAACACAUGCAAGUCGAGCGGGGUUGGCAGCAGUUAGCUUGCUAACAGCAGUCAACCCAGCGGCGGACGGGUGAGUAACGCGUGAGCAACCAACCUUGUACAGGGGAUAACAGGUGGAAACACCUGCUAAUACCGCAUAAGACCCCGGCACUGCAUGGUGCUGAGGUAAAAGGAGGAAACUCCGGUACGAGACGGGCUCGCGUCCCAUUAGCUGGUUGGUGGGGUGACGGCCUACCAAGGCAACGAUGGGUAGCCGGCCUGAGAGGGUGUACGGCCACACUGGGACUGAGACACGGCCCAGACUCCUACGGGAGGCAGCAGUGGGGGAUAUUGCGCAAUGGGGGGAACCCUGACGCAGCGACGCCGCGUGAGCGAAGAAGGCCUUCGGGUCGUAAAGCUCUGUCUUUGGGGAAGAAUAA